This 253-nucleotide ribosomal RNA is filed under the name uncultured bacterium. RNAcentral describes it as "partial 16S ribosomal RNA". It matches the Rfam family "Bacterial small subunit ribosomal RNA", at positions 524 to 776 of the family's 1533-position model. The record is from RNAcentral.
UACAGAGGUCUCGAGCGUUGUUCGGAUUCAUUGGGCGUAAAGAGCUCGUAGGCGGCCAGUUGCGUCUGCUGUGAAAUCCCGGGGCUCAACCCCGGGCGUGCAGUGGAUACGGGCUGGCUAGAGGCAGGCAGGGGAGAACGGAAUUCCCGGUGUAGCGGUGAAAUGCGCAGAUAUCGGGAGGAACACCGGUGGCGAAGGCGGUUCUCUGGGCCUGUACUGACGCUGAGGAGCGAAAGCGUGGGGAGCGAACAGG